This 460-nucleotide ribosomal RNA is filed under the name uncultured bacterium. Its description in RNAcentral is "partial 16S ribosomal RNA". It matches the Rfam family "Bacterial small subunit ribosomal RNA", at positions 338 to 795 of the family's 1533-position model. The record is from RNAcentral.
CCUACGGGGGGCUGCAGUGAGGAAUAUUGGUCAAUGGGCGAGAGCCUGAACCAGCCAAGUCGCGUGAGGGAAGACUGCCCUAUGGGUUGUAAACCUCUUUUGUCAGGGAGCAACGCCGGCUACGUGUAGCCGGACUGAGAGUACCUGAAGAAAAAGCAUCGGCUAACUCCGUGCCAGCAGCCGCGGUAAUACGGAGGAUGCGAGCGUUAUCCGGAUUUAUGGGUGGUAAAGGGUGCGUAGGCGGAAUGCCAAGUCAGCGGUAAAAUCGCGGGGCUCAACCUCGCUCCGCCGUUGAAACUGGCGUUCUUGAGGGGGCUAGAAGUAUGCGGAAUGCGUGGUGUAGCGGUGAAAUGCAUAGAGAUCACGCAGAACUCCGAUUGCGAAGGCAGCAUACCGGCGCCCAACUGACGCUGAAGAACGAAAGCGUGGGUAUCGAACAGGAUUAGAUACCCUGGUAGUC